CCUACGGGUGGCAGCAGUGAGGAAUAUUGGUCAAUGGGCGCAAGCCUGAACCAGCCAAGUCGCGUGAGGGAUGAAGGUUCUAUGGAUCGUAAACCUCUUUUAUAAGGGAAUAAAGUGUGGGACGUGUCCCAUUUUGUAUGUACCUUAUGAAUAAGGAUCGGCUAACUCCGUGCCAGCAGCCGCGGUAAUACGGAGGAUCCGAGCGUUAUCCGGAUUUAUUGGGUUUAAAGGGUGCGUAGGUGGCCUUUUAAGUCAGCUGUGAAAGUCUGUGGCUCAACCGUAAAAUUGCCAUUGAUACUGGGAGUCUUGAGUAUAGUUGAGGCAGGCGGAAGGCGUGGUGUAGCGGUGAAAUGCUUAGAUAUCACGCAGAACCCCGAUUGCGAAGGCAGCCUACCAAGCCAUCACUGACGCUGAUGCACGAAAGCGUGGGGAUCAAACAGGAUUAGAUACCCCAGUAGUC
RNAcentral lists this ribosomal RNA (460 nucleotides) under uncultured bacterium. Its description in RNAcentral is "partial 16S ribosomal RNA". It matches the Rfam family "Bacterial small subunit ribosomal RNA", at positions 338 to 795 of the family's 1533-position model. The record is from RNAcentral.